GUGCCAGCCGCAGCGGUAAUACGUAGGUGGCAAGCGUUGUCCGGAUUUAUUGGGCGUAAAGCGAGCGCAGGCGGUUCUUUAAGUCUGAUGUGAAAGCCCCCGGCUCAACCGGGGAGGGUCAUUGGAAACUGGGAGACUUGAGUGCAGAAGAGGAGAGUGGAACUCCAUGUGUAGCGGUGAAAUGCGUAGAUAUAUGGAAGACACCAGUGGCGAAAGCGGCUCUCUGGUCUGUAACUGACGCUGAGGUUCGAAAGCGUGGGUAGCAAACAGGAUUAGAUACCCUGGUAGUCCACGCUGUAAACGAUGAGUGCUAAGUGUUGGAGGUUUCCGCCCUUCAGUGCCGCAGCAAACGCAUUAAGCAUUCCGCCUGGGGAGUACGACCGCAAGGUUGAAACUCAAAGGAUUGACGGGGGCCCGCACAAGCGGUGGAGCAUGUGGUUUAAUUCGAAGCAACGCGAAGAACCUUACCAGGUCUUGACAUCUUCUGAUAGCCUAAGAGAUUAGGUGUUCCC
This 512-nucleotide ribosomal RNA is filed under the name uncultured Enterococcus sp. RNAcentral's name for it is "bacterial SSU rRNA". It matches the Rfam family "Bacterial small subunit ribosomal RNA", at positions 505 to 1018 of the family's 1533-position model. The record is from RNAcentral. Lineage: Bacteria; Bacillati; Bacillota; Bacilli; Lactobacillales; Enterococcaceae.